UACUUUUUUGGAGACUUCUGCUGCUAAACACACAGAACAGUGUGAGCCAGUGUUGUAGUACUCCAGAUCGGGCUUGGUCUCGAGACCACUUUUUGAACGUCUUUGAAUCUGCAUUUUUAU
Etheostoma spectabile (orangethroat darter) is the source of this 120-nucleotide long non-coding RNA. RefSeq lists it as uncharacterized. Lineage: Eukaryota; Metazoa; Chordata; Actinopteri; Perciformes; Percidae. The transcript has 3 exons. The record is from RefSeq and is a predicted model, not a curated record.